GCUGGGUGUGGUGGCGCACGCCAGUAAUCCCAGCAGCUUGGGAGGCUGGGGCAGGAGGAUUGCAAGUUCAAAGCCAGCCUUGGCAUUUUGGUGAGACCCUAAGCAACUUAGCAAGACUCUGUCUUAA
This 127-nucleotide small RNA is filed under the name Marmota monax (woodchuck). The record is from RNAcentral. Lineage: Eukaryota; Metazoa; Chordata; Mammalia; Rodentia; Sciuridae.